Molecule: long non-coding RNA, 886 nt
Organism: Onychostoma macrolepis
Lineage: Eukaryota; Metazoa; Chordata; Actinopteri; Cypriniformes; Cyprinidae
Exons: 3
Source: RefSeq, a predicted model, not a curated record
CCGUUCAUUCAACUACACGUUCAAAAGCGCUGAUUCAUUCAGAGAUUUGUAAUGAAACACGCUGUUUAAAUCAUUUUAACUUUGAGCGCCACUUUUAAAGGCUCAGCUGACCAGCAGAGCGUCGAUGCUAAAACAGAUUUCGCUUUCCUUGGACAUGACAACAUGUUUUCACAAAUAUAUACAUGACUCGGCCUGAAGGACAGACGCAGGUAAUCGCACGCGAUCAGUCGAUCUCUCUGUUUAGGCUUGUUAAGUGUUAAGUGCAACACCGCAACAGCUUGGGACUGACUACACUGGAUGUGUUACAUCGCUUGUAAUGAUUGGAAAAAUCUGUUUGUACUUCGUGUCAGAAACAGCGCGAGCGCUUGGAGUACAUCUGCACGUCAGAAAUAUACCGGGGCAUCAGUUUACUGUCCGCAUUCACUGUAGAUAAUAUGUAUAAUGGGUUCUAUAUUGUUGUCUGUUGUCUGUUGCCGAGUUGCGGUUUUGCCCGGGGAUGAACCCGCGAGAGUGGAAGAGCUCCGGAGAACAUCUACGCUGUGUGUCGAUGCAACCUAUGAGAGAAUAAGACCAGCAAGCAAGGCAACUGCAAUGAAGCAUAAAGAAAGACAUGAGCAGGCCAGCCACCCUGAGACUGAUAAUUCAUGAGAAGACAUUUCUGUGGAUGGUGAGCAAAGAUGGUGGCCAUGUUUUGGAGCAGCACCUGUGUUUUGCAGAUAGCUAUGUAUUCUUUGGCUGUUUGUCUUUUUUCCCAAUUAUGGCCUAAAGAUUCUUUGUAAGGAUGAAUCCAGAGGACACAACAUAAUGCACUGCAAACGUCCUAAGACAGGAGAAAUGGUGAAGAUGCACUGUUCCAGCAUUGGAAGUCUGUAUUUUUAAGUGUUAU